GUCACGGAGCCUGGUUGAGCCUAAUUCAUGCUGCGAAUUUUUGUUCUAUUUUGCAAAUACUCAGAGAAGGGCAACAAAGCUGUGUCACCCUGCCAGGCAACUCUGCACCUUAACCGUUCAACCUCACCCUGGGCCAGGAAAUUUUCCUAUGAAUAUGUGUUUCCUGAAACAAUCCCUUUUAUCUGGAAAACGAGGAAGUCAAAGAAACUGUAAUUGA
This is a long non-coding RNA of Pogoniulus pusillus (Red-fronted tinkerbird), 217 nucleotides long. RefSeq lists it as uncharacterized. Lineage: Eukaryota; Metazoa; Chordata; Aves; Piciformes; Lybiidae. The record is from RefSeq and is a predicted model, not a curated record. The transcript has 3 exons.